CGCAUUCUGGGUGGACAAGAAGGGCCGUGUCUUCCACCGCAUCAACGACUCGGCUGUUAUGCUGUUCUUCAGCGGGGUCCGCACGGCCGACCCGCUCUGGGCCCUGGUGGACGUCUACGGCCUCACGCGGGGCGUCCAGCUGCUUGGUCUGGAUACCCGACAACAGCGGGGACAGUGGCCCUCCUGUGCCUUCCAGAGUUGAGCUUACAAGAGCUCAAGGCAUCAAGGAUCAGCUGCACAUGUUGGGCACAGAUAGGCCACCAGGGCCCCAGCAGUGCUGGUACAAGGAAGAGGGGCAGUGCGGUGCCCAGGAUGCCAGAUUCAGUGGGGAAGGUGGGUCUGCCUGCCUUAUAGUUCCCCGGAGGCUCCCGAGGGCUUUGUCUGGUUCGGUUGUUCCUGUGCACGCUGGUUUUCUACCACAAUGAAUAUAUAUAAAGUUGAUCA
RNAcentral lists this small RNA (444 nucleotides) under Pongo abelii (Sumatran orangutan). RNAcentral's name for it is "processed transcript". The record is from RNAcentral. Lineage: Eukaryota; Metazoa; Chordata; Mammalia; Primates; Hominidae.